RNAcentral lists this ribosomal RNA (608 nucleotides) under Salmonella enterica. Its description in RNAcentral is "bacterial SSU rRNA". It matches the Rfam family "Bacterial small subunit ribosomal RNA", at positions 802 to 1410 of the family's 1533-position model. Lineage: Bacteria; Pseudomonadati; Pseudomonadota; Gammaproteobacteria; Enterobacterales; Enterobacteriaceae. The record is from RNAcentral.
GUAAACGAUGUCUACUUGGAGGUUGUGCCCUUGAGGCGUGGCUUCCGGAGCUAACGCGUUAAGUAGACCGCCUGGGGAGUACGGCCGCAAGGUUAAAACUCAAAUGAAUUGACGGGGGCCCGCACAAGCGGUGGAGCAUGUGGUUUAAUUCGAUGCAACGCGAAGAACCUUACCUGGUCUUGACAUCCACAGAAGAAUCCAGAGAUGGAUUUGUGCCUUCGGGAACUGUGAGACAGGUGCUGCAUGGCUGUCGUCAGCUCGUGUUGUGAAAUGUUGGGUUAAGUCCCGCAACGAGCGCAACCCUUAUCCUUUGUUGCCAGCGAUUAGGUCGGGAACUCAAAGGAGACUGCCAGUGAUAAACUGGAGGAAGGUGGGGAUGACGUCAAGUCAUCAUGGCCCUUACGACCAGGGCUACACACGUGCUACAAUGGCGCAUACAAAGAGAAGCGACCUCGCGAGAGCAAGCGGACCUCAUAAAGUGCGUCGUAGUCCGGAUUGGAGUCUGCAACUCGACUCCAUGAAGUCGGAAUCGCUAGUAAUCGUGGAUCAGAAUGCCACGGUGAAUACGUUCCCGGGCCUUGUACACACCGCCCGUCACACCAUGGGAG